RNAcentral lists this ribosomal RNA (481 nucleotides) under uncultured bacterium. Its description in RNAcentral is "partial 16S ribosomal RNA". It matches the Rfam family "Bacterial small subunit ribosomal RNA", at positions 28 to 507 of the family's 1533-position model. The record is from RNAcentral.
GAUGAACGCUGGCGGCGUGCUUAACACAUGCAAGUCGAACGAAGCACUUUAUUUGAUUUCCUUCGGGACUGAUUAUUUUGUGACUGAGUGGCGGACGGGUGAGUAACGCGUGGGUAACCUGCCUUGUACAGGGGGAUAACAGUUGGAAACGGCUGCUAAUACCGCAUAAGCGCACAGCAUCGCAUGAUGCAGUGUGAAAAACUCCGGUGGUAUACGAUGGACCCGCGUUGGAUUAUCUAGUUGGUGAGGUAACGGCCCACCAAGGCGACGAUCCAUAGCCGAGCUGAGAGGGUGGCCGGACACAUUGGGACUGGGACGCAGCCCGAACUCCUACGGGAGGCAGCAGUGGGGAAUAUUGCACAAUGGGCGAAAGCCUGAUGCAGCGACGCCGCGUGAGCGAAGAAGUAUUUCGGUAUGUAAAGCUCUAUCAGCAGGGAAGAUAAUGACGGUACCUGACUAAGAAGCACCGGCUAAAUACGUG